UAGGGAAUCUUCCGCAAUGGACGAAAGUCUGACGGAGCAACGCCGCGUGAGUGAAGAAGGAUUUCGGUUCGUAAAACUCUGUUGUUAGGGAAGAAAAAAUGUAUAGUAACUAUAUACAAAAGAGACGGUACCUAACCAGAAAGCCACGGCUAACUACGUGCCAGCAGCCGCGGUAAUACGUAGGUGGCAAGCGUUGUCCGGAAUUAUUGGGCGUAAAGCGCGCGCAGGUGGUUUAGAAAGUCUGAUGUGAAAGCCCACGGCUCAACCGUGGAGGGUCAUUGGAAACUAAUAAACUUGAGUGCAGGAGAGAAAAGUCGAAUUCCUAGUGUAGCGGUGAAAUGCGUAGAGAUUAGGAGGAACACCGGUGGCGAAAGCGGCUUUUUGGCCUGCAACUGACACUGAGGUGCGAAAGCGUGGGGAGCAAACAGG
RNAcentral lists this ribosomal RNA (429 nucleotides) under Verrucomicrobiota bacterium. RNAcentral describes it as "Verrucomicrobia bacterium partial 16S ribosomal RNA". It matches the Rfam family "Bacterial small subunit ribosomal RNA", at positions 355 to 776 of the family's 1533-position model. The record is from RNAcentral. Lineage: Bacteria; Pseudomonadati; Verrucomicrobiota.